GGGGAGCAGCGCUGAGCCCCAACCCCUGCAGCAGUGAGCGGCUCCUGGCUUAGCGAGGCAAAACGCACAGCUUGGCGAGGAGCAACGCGCACAGAGAGAGCUGGAAGGCAGCACGGGAAGCAGAGCAGGGCAGGGCAGAGCAGCGCUGGUGUCAGCGGCGGCACACAGCUCCCAAUGCCCGCAAGCUUGCUACAGGGAAAGGGGUGAAGGAGAGGCAGGGACGGGAAAUCAAACUAUGCUGCAGGAUUUGGGGCUGUUCCAACCUAACAAAGCAGCCGGGUGACCCCGAGGAGCAGCAGAAAGCACCCGGAGCCCCUCCGCCACCGCUGCAGCACGCGCUUCCUGCAUCCAUCCAUCCCAAGGCAGCCCGCAGUAACGCAGCAGAAAGACAAGGGUCAUGCUGAGCCGCAUCCUCCUCGCACACAACAGCCGAGCGGCAGCACCGAACAUGCAUGGCUCAGCCGUGCCGCCACGCCACGCCGGAACGGAGAGCCUUAAAAUAAGGUCUGAGUGGUGAGAACAGCAAGAUCCCUUCCCUCGGGCUCGCAGUCAUAGGAAGCCGCCCCAUUUUGGCUGAGACACAUUGAAGGUUCCCUCCUGGUGCUGCAGAGCACCUUGAAAGGUCGGCGAUGGCACUGCAGCAGGCGAUGUGGGCUGCCCUAGAGAGAAGGGGAACACGGCCUGCGCCCCUACCCAACUCC
Gallus gallus (chicken) is the source of this 701-nucleotide long non-coding RNA. The record is from Ensembl. Lineage: Eukaryota; Metazoa; Chordata; Aves; Galliformes; Phasianidae.